RNAcentral lists this transfer RNA (77 nucleotides) under Perca fluviatilis (European perch). RNAcentral describes it as "tRNA-Phe". It matches the Rfam family "tRNA". From Rfam's summary of the family: Transfer RNA (tRNA) molecules are approximately 80 nucleotides in length. Their secondary structure includes four short double-helical elements and three loops (D, anti-codon, and T loops). Lineage: Eukaryota; Metazoa; Chordata; Actinopteri; Perciformes; Percidae. The record is from RNAcentral.
GCCGAAAUAGCUCAGUUGGGAGAGCGUUAGACUGAAGAUCUGUAAAGGUCCCCUGGUUCAACCCCGGUUUCGCAGCG